CCUACGGGAGGCUGCAGUGGGGAAUAUUGGACAAUGGGCGAAAGCCUGAUCCAGCCAUGCCGCGUGUGUGAAGAAGGCCUUCGGGUUGUAAAGCACUUUCAGUGGGGAAGAAAGCCUUGGGGCUAAUACCCUCGAGGAAGGACAUCACCCACAGAAGAAGCACCGGCUAACUCCGUGCCAGCAGCCGCGGUAAUACGGAGGGUGCGAGCGUUAAUCGGAAUUACUGGGCGUAAAGCGCGCGUAGGCGGUCUGAUAAGCCGGUUGUGAAAGCCCCGGGCUCAACCUGGGAACGGCAUCCGGAACUGUCAGGCUAGAGUGCAGGAGAGGUAGGUAGAAUUCCCGGUGUAGCGGUGAAAUGCGUAGAGAUCGGGAGGAAUACCAGUGGCGAAGGCGGCCUUCUGGACUGACACUGACGCUGAGGUGCGAAAGCGUGGGUAGCAAACAGGAUUAGAUACCCGAGUAGUC
RNAcentral lists this ribosomal RNA (465 nucleotides) under Vreelandella stevensii. RNAcentral's name for it is "partial 16S ribosomal RNA". It matches the Rfam family "Bacterial small subunit ribosomal RNA", at positions 338 to 795 of the family's 1533-position model. The record is from RNAcentral. Lineage: Bacteria; Pseudomonadati; Pseudomonadota; Gammaproteobacteria; Oceanospirillales; Halomonadaceae.